AGCGGCGGACGGGUGAGUAAUGCGUGGGAAUAUGCCCUUUGGUAUGGAAUAGCCCCUGGAAACGGGGAGUAAUACCGUAUGUGCCCUACGGGGAAAAGAUUUAUCGCCAAAGGAUUAGCCCAUGUUGGAUUAGCUGGUUGGUGAGGUAAAAGCUCACCAAGGCGACGAUCUAUAGCUGGUUUGAGAGGAUGAUCAGCCACACUGGGACUGAGACACGGCCCAGACUCCUACGGGAGGCAGCAGUGGGGAAUAUUAGACAAUGGGCGAAAGCCUGAUCUAGCCAUGCCGCGUGAGUGAAGAAGGCCCUAGGGUUGUAAAGCUCUUUUAGAUGUGAGGAUGAUGACAGUAACAUCAGAAGAAGCCCCGGCUAACUUCGUGCCAGCAGCCGCGGUAAUACGAAGGGGGCUAGCGU
Molecule: ribosomal RNA, 412 nt
Filed under: uncultured bacterium
Lineage: Bacteria
Description: bacterial SSU rRNA
Rfam family: Bacterial small subunit ribosomal RNA
Source: RNAcentral